Long non-coding RNA from Daphnia pulex (common water flea), 582 nucleotides. RefSeq lists it as uncharacterized. Lineage: Eukaryota; Metazoa; Arthropoda; Branchiopoda; Diplostraca; Daphniidae. The transcript has 2 exons. The record is from RefSeq and is a predicted model, not a curated record.
GAACUUUUCCCUGUCAAGAUUUUGUAAAUCUUCAAGAUAUUGAUGCCUUCGCCAGAUCCAAUUCUUUGCUAUCUACUUUGUGUCACAACAGCAAGAAAAUGCUGCCACUCAAAGAUUUUGUGGUGAUCGCCACUUAGUUCUAAUUUAGGAGGACAAUGUAAAAUUGAUAGAUUUGAGGUUAAUCCCUCUCCUCUGUUUUGGAAACCGAUGAGAGAUUUCUGGAAUGGGAGACUGAUAAUUUGUGUAGAUGUAGAUAAAUUACAAGUGCAUAUCUGGGCUCCCUUCUUUUCUGUGGCCCCGUUUCCCUUAGUUACUAACCAAAAACCAACUCCCGCCGGUGGUCACUCACUCGCUGUACGUACUAACCAGGAGGGCGCUGGUCGAGCGGGGACUACUUGGAAGGCUCAUAAUUUGAUGAAAAAUGGAGGGUCAUUAGUCUAACCAGAAAUAUGACUAUGACUAAGCGCUCCCUAGCAAAACUGGGCACACCUCUCUCUUCUUCGCUGGCCAAGUAAUAUUCUUUGUCGGAGUCAAUCAAGAUAGUGUCUUCCCCCGUCCUUGAUUGACGGUACCUGCAAGUCG